Molecule: ribosomal RNA, 468 nt
Filed under: uncultured bacterium
Lineage: Bacteria
Description: partial 16S ribosomal RNA
Rfam family: Bacterial small subunit ribosomal RNA
Source: RNAcentral
GACGAACGCUGGCGGCGUGCUUAACACAUGCAAGUCGAACGGAAAGGCCCUGCUUUUGUGGGGUGCUCGAGUGGCGAACGGGUGAGUAACACAUGAGUAACCUGCCCUUGACUUUGGGAUAACUUCAGGAAACUGGGGCUAAUACCGGAUAGGAGCUCCUGCUGCAUGGUGGGGGUUGGAAAGUUUCGGCGGUUGGGGAUGGACUCGCGGCUUAUCAGCUUGUUGGUGGGGUAGUGGCUUACCAAGGCUUUGACGGGUAGCCGGCCUGAGAGGGUGACCGGCCACAUUGGGACUGAGAUACGGCCCAGACUCCUACGGGAGGCAGCAGUGGGGAAUAUUGCACAAUGGGCGGAAGCCUGAUGCAGCAACGCCGCGUGCGGGAUGACGGCCUUCGGGUUGUAAACCGCUUUCGCCUGUGACGAAGCGUGAGUGACGGUAAUGGGUAAGGAAGCACCGGCUAACUACGUG